UUAGACCAUGAGGGAAUUGGAAAGUGCACAGAUGUACAAAGCCUGGGCUACUGAGUCACUAUUUGGUGCUUUUAUGUACUUGGUGCAUUACUGCUAGUCCCCAUGGAUAAUAAAUA
This is a non-coding RNA of Homo sapiens (human), 116 nucleotides long. It matches the Rfam family "Mitochondrial DNA control region secondary structure A". NCBI's taxonomy places the organism in Eukaryota, Metazoa, Chordata, Mammalia, Primates, Hominidae. The record is from Rfam.